UUAUGUGAUCGUCUCUCGCAUAUCAAUAAGCGGAGGAAAAGAAACUAACAAGGAUUCCCCUAGUAACGGCGAGUGAAGCGGGAAGAGCUCAAAUUUGAAAUCUUAAAGGGUUUCCCUUUACGAAUUGUAGUUUAAAGAAGUGUUUUCUGUUGAGGUUUUGGUAAAAGUUCUUUGGAAUAGGACAUCAUAGAGGGUGAGAAUCCCGUAUUUGACCUUUACUUUCAACUUUGUGAUACACUUUCAAAGAGUCGGAUUGUUUGGGAAUGCAGUCCAAAAUGGGUGGUAAAUUUCAUCUAAAGCUAAAUAUUGGCGAGAGACCGAUAGCGAACAAGUACCGUGAGGGAAAGAUGAAAAGAACUUUGAAAAGAGAGUUAAACAGUACGUGAAAUUGUCAAAAGGGAAGCGUUUGACACCAGUGUUGUUUUUCUGAAAAUCAAUUAAAGAACUGUUUAUGCUAAGUUGUUUAGACUUUAUCAGCUAUCUGUUUAGUUUUGAGCUUUUCUUUAAUGCACUCUUCAGUUAACAAGUCAACAUCAAUUUCUUUUGCUGUAAAAAAGCUUGAGGAAGGUGGCUUGAGAUUCGUCUUAAGUGUUUAUAGCCUCUUGCCUAUGCAGUCGGAGAGAUUGAGGUCUGCAGCGUAGAUCCUUCGGGGCUAAAUGCAUUUGUGCUAAGUUAUAGCAUUUUAUAGACAACUUGUUGACUAUGAUUUGUCUUGUAGCUUACUCGCUUAUGUUAUUUUACCUACGCUUAGGAUGUUGACACACGCGCGUGCUCGACUCUAUACAUGACUCUGCGCAUAUCAAUAAGCGGAGGAAAAGAGGGCUAUUACCUACGCUUAGGAUGUUGACACACGCGCGUGCUCG
This 863-nucleotide ribosomal RNA is filed under the name uncultured Neocallimastigales. RNAcentral describes it as "partial large subunit ribosomal RNA". It matches the Rfam family "Eukaryotic large subunit ribosomal RNA", at positions 24 to 643 of the family's 3401-position model. The record is from RNAcentral. Lineage: Eukaryota; Fungi; Neocallimastigomycota; Neocallimastigomycetes; Neocallimastigales.